CAAAUUAGAGCUUGUUGAAAGUAUUUUAUUUACAUUAAAAGGAAGGUUGUGAGAGUCAACUUAAUUUGA
RNAcentral lists this transfer RNA (69 nucleotides) under Meloe proscarabaeus. RNAcentral's name for it is "tRNA-Val". The record is from RNAcentral. Lineage: Eukaryota; Metazoa; Arthropoda; Insecta; Coleoptera; Meloidae.